RNAcentral lists this long non-coding RNA (4465 nucleotides) under Coffea arabica (coffee). RNAcentral describes it as "long non-coding RNA (CARA_LNC002665)". Lineage: Eukaryota; Viridiplantae; Streptophyta; Magnoliopsida; Gentianales; Rubiaceae. The record is from RNAcentral.
ACUCAAUCGAAUUGGACUAAACCCCAAAGGUAAGAAUAUUGCAAACUCAUUGCACUAUUUGGCUUGUUUUACGACAGAAGGGGGAUGAAUUUACUUGCAUGAUUUUGUUUGUACAACUCGUUUUAAAACAAUGUGACAUGAAUAAUGAAAUUGAAAUUCUGGCGAAAACUCCUAAACAAGGAAAUCAUAUGGGUAGCAUAAAUUAGAUACAUUGAGAGCCAACUUAAAGAACGUAUGCACAGGGAACUUAUGCAUGCCAAGUGUUUGUAAAUUUGACUCAAUAGACGAAUUAAAUGACUUAGAAUAUUUACAGGUAUAUAAAAUAACAGGGAGAGUGUGAAGGUAAUUGUUACUUGCUUUUUUUUUUAUUCUUGUUGCAGAAUAGCAGUGACACCGUAUAGUUUAAACUGUAUUACCGACCGUGUAUGGACGCUUACAUCACAGUAGACAAAGAUAAAAGUUAAGUAAAGCGAGUUACACUAAUGAAAUAGGGAGUACAACACUGCAAUGCCUGACUCACAAUGCGUACAUUUAUGACUAUAAACCGUAACUGUCAUCUAACAACAUGUAUAUUAUCGGAAACCUAUUGUGCACAAUUGUGACACUAUGUGACCAUCACUCACAUAUAUGAUUUUGUCAUAGAUUUCAGCAUCCGAAAAGUCUAACUAAACAAGGAUUAGGAUGGCUUGACAACAUCAAGAAGGUACACUUGUUGCAAGGUAUCCCAUAACAUGAUUACAAUAAUAUUUGCCUACUCGUAAUUGCUUUUAAAGUAUGGUGUAACUUGUUGCAUGGUAUAAAUUUUACUACUUGUAAUUGCUUUUAAAGUAUGGUGAAAAUUUUGAUAACUUGUAAGAUUUUGCCUAGACAACGUAUGUGAUGUACACCAUGUUUAUUGGAACAUAUAGCAUGUUAGUCAUUAAUAACAUUUAUAUCAGAUGUUUUUAUUAGAUGGUUAUUUGUUCCAAUUGUCUAUGAAAUUGACAAUUAGUGCUUAUGAGAGUGCAUUAAAUUAGAUAGAUAGUUUACUUCAAUGAAUGGCCAGUACAUACAUACUUAGUGAAUGUACAAUCUGGUUGAAAUAAUGUACACCGUGUAACCGACCAAAUACAAUGUGUACAAAUUUUUGAAUAUGCGGUUAGUUGUCCACAUGCAUAUUGCAAUUAGCCGUUGCAGCCACAACUUGUACUGAUUUUUAGUAAAUUUUUUUACUUGUAUGAGUAGUACUGAUUUGUCUGUAAACACUUUAUACAGUGUGAUGUAUAAAUACAAUUAGUUUACGAAAAUGUACAUCAUCUUAGGUAUUAGUUAUUUAAAUGUAUAUAUCUAUAAAAGAUAGUACAAUGGUAUGCAUACCUUUGGAAAUGUUAUUGGUGUUUCGACCAACUUAGGCAUCUCCUUACAAGCUGCAGUAGAUGUGUAAUAUUACUUGUAUGAGUAAUACUAAUUUGCCUAUAAGUACCUUAUACUGGGUAAUCUAAAAGGUACAAUCAGUUUAUAAAAAUGUACAUCAUGUUAGGUAUUAGUUACUUGACUGUGUAUAUCUGUGAAAGGUACUGCAAUGGUAUCUAUAACUUUGAAAUGGUUAUUAGCCUAGAUAAGGUGUGUGAUGUACACCAUAUUUAUCAGAAUGUACAAUAUGUUAUUCAUCAAUACGAUGCAUAGAAAUUGUUAAAUAUACAGUUAUUUGUUCACAUGCAUAUUGCAAUUAGUCAUCACAGCAAUAUGCAUAGUGCAAUGGUAUGCAUACAUUUGGAAUGGUUAUUGAUGUUUUGACCCACUUGUGCAUCUCCUUGCAGGCUGCAGUGCGCGUGUAAUUUUAUCUAGGUGAAUAAUACUAAUUUGCUUAUAAACACCUUACACAGGGUGAUCUAUGAGGUACAAUCAGUUUACAAAAAUGUACAUUAUGUUAGAUGUUAGUUACUUCAAUGCGUAUAUCUAUAAAAGAUAGUGCAAUUGUAUACAUAAAUUUGAAGCAGUUAUUUAGCCAUUUGAUCAAUUUGUACAUCUUCCUAUAGUAGAUGUGUAAUUUUACUUGUAUGAAUACUCUUUGUUUGUCUGUGAGUAUCUUACACAAGGUGAUCUACGAGAUACAAUCAGUUUACAAAAAUGUACAUCAUGUUAGGUGUUAGUUACUUGACUAUGUAUAUAUAUAAAAGAGAGAUUAGAUAUAACGCAGAAAAAAGUAAUUACAUGAGUUGGAAUGUAUUAUACAAACUUUGGUAUAGUUGAUAUUAAAAUUUCUCUGUUGAGGGUACACGUUGUUAGUGGAUAUGGAGUAGUGCUAUAUGUUAUGUACGCUUACAUGGUCAUAAAUUUACAGAAGUUAGUCCAUUGUUUAAAUUUGUAAUUGGUUGUUAGCCCUUACACACUGUCACAUGCAUACACAUAAUGUAAGAAUGAAUUUAAUAUAUAGUUGUUAAUUGGUUACAUAGAGUUCAUAUAGGCAUACAAAUUGGGGUUUGAUUAGCUAUACUCUGUAUAUAAUUGUUAACACAUUAUAUCGUAUUCACCUUAUUUUGCAGCAUGUCAUGGGCAAAGAUAGCGUCUUUUGACAAAUUAAUGGAUAUCAAUCAAUACUGGUGAAGCAAAGACAUUAGGUAUGUUUAGCCUAUUUUACGAUAUGUUUAAGGAAAUAAAGAUUUUUAUUUCACAAAUUGGUGAAAAUUAGUUACAUUUGGGGUGUGUUUGUUUGAAUGUAAAAUGUUUUCCUGAAAAUGUUUUCCAAAUUUUCCUGUGUUUGGUAAUCAUUUUAUCUUGGAAAAAGAUUUAUGCGGGGAAUAUAUUUUACUUCACUUGGUGGAAAAUAACUUCAUCUUUUGACUUACUGAAGUUAUUUUCCUUCAUUAAAACGAGCGGCUCUUGCACUUCACAAUAGAGCUCCCUACCCACAUUCUAACAAAAACAAACAAAGACUUUGCGGCUAAAGAUACAGAGAGUGGGCAAUGAAGAUUGGAGAGACUCAGAAAUCACCAACAAUAUGAUCAUUUCUGAUGGCAGCCAUCUCCAACUCUGGCAAGGUGCCUUGGGUGAGAUUCUUAUUUAGGGCUUUGUCUUGAAUAUCUUUUUAUUUUUUCCAAAAAAAUCUGAUAAAAUCGGUUGUUCCAAUCUAGGAUUCUAUCGAUUUUUUUUAAAUUUUGUUGCUAUAAUUCUUGAGAAUUGUGGCACUAGUUUCACAGAGGAAUUUGGAUUUUUUUUUAAAGAUGUUUCUUUUAUCUUUAGUUUUCAGUUUUCUUUUUCUAUAAUUAUAUGAAGCUCUAGGAAUUCUGGUAAAAUUUAUUGCUCCACUCCCAUUUUCUGACGAUUCUUAUUGAGGUAAGGGCUUGAGCUUGCAUGAUUGUUUUUGUAUCAAUUGAUUGAUAGAUUAAGAAACUUCAGUAGUUUUUUUGUAAAUUAUCAAUCAAUUGGUGUCCUUAGAGUUUGAUUUUGUCUUUCUAUUGAGAAAUUUGUUGUUAAAUGUAUAUGGCUGUUAUUGAUUUCUCUGAGCGAUAUGAAUACUGAAUGUUGGGAUUUCUUGUCUAGAGAAUUUAAAUUUUAGGAUUUAUGUUUUGGGAUUGGGGUAAAGGUUAAGUUGUUAAGACGUUCGCAAGGUGAGGUUCUCUAGUAUCUUAAAUAUUCAUUCAGUUGCGCAUAUACUCUUCUGGGAUUAGGGAGAAGAAAGAAGAGAAAGGAGAGAGCGUGUGUGUCGAAAGGUAAACAAUAGAAAGGAAUGAAAUGCUCAUCAUUUUGAGUCAAAUCAAAGAGUUUGUUUUCUUUUCUAAUCAUCUAGAUACUUCUGUUUUCCUUUCUUUAUGGCCACUGUGUUAGUGCUUCAUUUUUGCGCAUCUUGCAUAUGCAUUACUUAUUUAUUUUAAAUUGUGAAUGAAACAAUCAAGUGAAGAUUAAGUUUGUGUGCUAAUAUUAUGUUACUCUGAUGCUUUUUCCCCUUGUUUUAAUUUUGUAGAGACAUACAUAAAUAGUGGAUUAUCCUAAAAGAGACUGCAAUGGAAUUUUGCCGGACUUGUGGGAUGUUAUUGCAGUAUGAAUUGCCGCAUAUGGACCGCCCUGCCAGAUUCUUUUGUCCAACAUGCCCAUAUGUAUGUCACAUAGAUAGUAAGGUAAGUCAUUAUAAAUCCUUGUUGAGGGUUUAUUUACUGGCUAUUCACAAUGUCCAUUGUGUCAUUGCUAAGUUAUCAACGCAUGUGGCAGGUUAAAAUAAAAAGAAAGCAUCAGUUAGUUAAGAAAGAACUAGAUCCUAUCACGUAUUAAGAUAUUUAUUUUUCCUGUUGUGUUUCAGCAUCACCUUGGAGGUGAUCUACAAGUGGAAAAAAGGAGGGCUGACUGAGUACCUUGCCACUUGCCUUGGCCUUGGGAAUUUGUAGGUGCAGGCCAACUGGAUUUGUUCAAAGCUCUGGUCACUAAAUUUUUUCCUGUAAAACGUUCACAUGAACAUUGGUGACGUGUUGUAUAGAUGUUUCCUUUUGUA